GAAACAGAUACCCUCCUGGUCUAGUGAGCUCUGACCAGAACGAUAACAGGAGUAAACCUUUGGAGAUAAGGGGAUCUGGUUAAAUAAACAGUCUCGUCAAGAAAUAUACCUUCGUGGACGGUGCUCCACGCCCUCAGUCGAUGCACCAAAUUUUCCACCGCAAGACGUGCUUUCCUCGUUCCUAGAGUAUAAAUGAACUGUGGAUAUUUACAGAAACAAGCGCGUGAGAAAUGGGUAUGAUGACUGAGCCUGCGUCCGGCAUUUGGCGUGAAGACCUAAUUGAAA
Molecule: long non-coding RNA, 285 nt
Organism: Eurytemora carolleeae
Lineage: Eukaryota; Metazoa; Arthropoda; Copepoda; Calanoida; Temoridae
Exons: 3
Source: RefSeq, a predicted model, not a curated record